CCCCUGUGACAUACCUAUCGUUGCCUCGGCGGGAGAGCCCCGGGCGUUGGUGAAAGCUUCGCACCGGUAUCAGGCGCCCGCCGGAGGACCCAAACAAACUCUUGUAUUCUAAAGAAUCUUCUGAGUAACCAUAAGUUAAUAAAUUAAAACUUUCAACAACGGAUCUCUUGGUUCUGGCAUCGAUGAAGAACGCAGCGAAAUGCGAUAAGUAAUGUGAAUUGCAGAAUUCAGUGAAUCAUCGAAUCUUUGAACGCACAUUGCGCCCGCUAGUAUUCUGGCGGGCAUGCCUGUUCGAGCGUCAUUUCAACCCUCAAGCUCUGCUUGGUGUUGGGAAUCGGCGUAGCGGCCUUCGGGCAGCUGCCGUUCCCUAAAUCUAGUGGCGGUCCCGCUGUAGCCUCCUCUGCGUAGUAGUUUUCUCCUCGCACCGGCAGCUUAGUGGUGACCUCGCCGUAAAACCCCCAACUUCUGAAAGGUUGACCUCGAAUCAGGUAGGAAUACCCGCUGAACUUAAGCAUAUCAAUAAGCGGAGGAA
RNAcentral lists this ribosomal RNA (532 nucleotides) under Volutella sp. EF44. RNAcentral's name for it is "eukaryotic LSU rRNA". The stretch from base 148 to 301 matches the Rfam family "5.8S ribosomal RNA". The record is from RNAcentral. Lineage: Eukaryota; Fungi; Ascomycota; Sordariomycetes; Hypocreales; Nectriaceae.